This is a long non-coding RNA of Cavia porcellus (domestic guinea pig), 2409 nucleotides long. RefSeq lists it as uncharacterized. NCBI's taxonomy places the organism in Eukaryota, Metazoa, Chordata, Mammalia, Rodentia, Caviidae. The transcript is spliced from 3 exons. The record is from RefSeq and is a predicted model, not a curated record.
AUCCUGCAAACAGGGCUGGGUACCACGUGCAGUUCCAGUAUAUGCAGAGGGCAGUGCCGGCUUGGGGACUCAGCUCACCUGUGCACUGCUUGACCUGCAACUGCAAGGAACUCUGCUUCCUUUGCCUUUAAAAAAAAUCAUCAUAACUUUUAUAUUUUGAUCUGAUACCUACAUAUAUUUGGUAGCAAUUUUAGAAAAUACGCAAAUUUUAAAUUUCUGUCAAUUGAACGGAGAUAACUGUUAUUAGCAUGUUGUUGUUUAAUCUGUCCUUCCAACCUUAUUCGAAUCAGAAAAAUACUUUUCGACAUAAAUUACAUCUCACCGUUCAUGCUAUUUUUUAAAUGUUCCUCCCCUCUUUUGCCCUUCCGCGAUCCUCACCUAGAAGGCAGAGAAGAAAAUAACUCUGCUCUGAGUGAGGCAGGCCUUGGAAGGGUUCUGAUAACAAACGCCUGUCACAUUUCACCAGUGGGAGCCACAUAUCGGAAUUAGGAGAGCUGGGUAAACCUCUCCCGGCCCUCACCAGAUACCCAAGAUCCUGGGUCCCGAGAUCCAGGAAGGAGGAUUUCUUAGUUAUGUUUUUUUUCUUUUCAGUGCUUUUAAUAAAGCAUUUCAUGCUUUUUCACAAUUGUUCCUUGUUCUUAGCCCCCCCCCCAAAUUGAUCAAUAACCUAUUGCCCUUUAUUUCAUUAAACAGGUUCAUUUUUUAAAAUGGAGCUGAUGUGUUCAUUCAGACAACACGAGUCCAGAUGAAGUCUGUCCAGACCAGUGUUGUCUGUCUAGACCUGGUCCACAAACCUGGCUGAGCCUCAGUCUCCCCAUUGUAGAGACACUUGGGCACCUGUUUCCCAGUGUUCUCGGGCAGUUCCUGGGGAGCCUGGUGAGAUGCACUGGGUGACACCCAGCCUUAAGAAUGAGGCUGAGGAGACAUCCUGUGCAGACACCAGUGUGGCGAGGCGGCUGCGCUCACAGAUGACCCUGCCACACCUCUCACCGCCAGGCUGUGGAGGGGUGGGCUGGGGAGCUCGUGAACCGAAGGACCUGUCGGCCUCUCAAACCCAGGAGACCUGCAUGCGCCUCAGCUAGCUGCCGGUGAUCAAAAUUUGAAGCAAAAAACAGGAAUCACUUUAGCUGGGCAUGGUGGUGCAUGCCUGUAAUCCCAGCCCUGGGAAAGCUGUGGCAGGAGGAUCACUGGGAUUUCAAGGCCAGCCUGUGUUACACGCAGGCAACACUCCUGUUUCAGGCUUAGAUUUCCAACAUGAGGACUUUGGAGGAGACUCACUCAAACCACUGCGGCACGGAACAGUGCUGAGUGAAAGGACCGCCCUCAAAGGCGUGGGAAGACACAGGGUGGCAGCCUCUGAACAGGGACUUGAACGUACUGAGUUAAACAUGCACUUGCUGGACCUGGGUCUCACCCCACAGCUCCCCUCCUUCUGGAUCCCUGGCUUCUAGGAAAAUGGUGAAUCUGAAGCAGGCCAGAUCUACUCCCCUGGCUGUGCUGGGGAAGCCAGCGGAAGCUCGAAGCUGCCUCUCUUAGCUGCCUGCACCAGCAGCCCUUACGGCUUCAGAGCACUGGGCUCAGUGGCUCUCAGCCUGCCAGGCACUGUUCCAGCUGACACUUGGGCACCACAUGAGGGUCGGCUCAGAUGAAAGCCGAAAGCUGCCUCUUCAGAUUUGAACCUGGUGAUGCUCACAGAUCUCUCCAGUUCCCUGUGUGUUUGUUUGCGUUUUUCAUCACACCACAGAGCAGCUGCUCAGAGGGCUGCCACCUUCCUCCUGCUCACAUCCACACAGAUGCGUGGAGCAGCUACCAACCUCGGCCUGGGUCUUGGUGAUACCUGAUGCCUUGGCCGGCUCUUAGCUCUUUGACUGGAUUGACUUGUAAAGUUUAAGUCCAAGUGCAAGUGCAACCUGUUACUGUCCUCUGCGGAGAGGAGGAACUGCUGAGCCGCCUGUAGAGGCUUCUUUCUCACGUUGUCUGAGGCACAACCCUGUUUCCACCAUGUAAACUAUGCCAUGAUCUGAGCUUGCCAUUCAGUACUGCAUUCGGAUUGGGGCCUCUUGGCAGAAAUGCUGCGCAGAAGCUGAAAGAGUUUUGCUCUAGAAUAAAUUACAGGACAUUAUGGCGGUGGUUCAACAUGGAAGGUCAAAUCGAGGAUGCUUACCCUGAUGGCCGCUUCCUCCGUUUUCUCUGAUUACAACUUCCUCCUUCCUUUCCCUAUGCGUGUGAAGAAAUUUCCAAUCAACUCCUCACACAUCAUCAAUGCCCACCCCAAGCACCACAUCCGGUCAAAGGUCACGUACAUCCCACACCCCCACAUUUGGUCAGAGGCAAAAGCUAAACCCUUGCUGGUUGUUGGCUCUUCUCCACACCCUUUAAAUAAAAAGGCCACUAUCAUUUUUUUCUUUU